UUUGCACAGUAAUGUAUGUAUAAAGUACGUAUAAUUAGAUUAAGUAUAUUUAAAUAAGCGAUUGCUCCCUCGUGAUCUUUUUGUAAACUGCCAUUUUCAUGUGAAAAUUAAGGGCACUGACUCUGAGGUGAUCACAAAUUUGUGUACUGUUUUUGGAGCUAAAUGCUAUAGCCCCGCUAAAAAAAGCAUAGCGUGCUUCUUGUGUACAUUUCGGAGAACCAGGACAAAUAUUUCAAUCAAUCGCCCAGACAUUUAAGAGUCAUUUAAGAGAAAUCUGCGUUCUUAUUCGGUUCGGUGGAUACCGGUUCCAUUGGUACUAUAUUAGCACCGGGUUUCAGUACCCAACCCUAGUAAGGAGAAUGUUUACUGGCAUAGGUUAAAAAAAGCUUCACACAAAGACCUCUGUGACUGCAUUUAAAUAGUAAACCAGUUCUAAAUGAUUGGUUUUGGUGCAGACUUUGUUACAUGCAUCUAAAUAGCAAGAGCAAUUGUCCAAUGUAAUUUUUUUUUUUGGCAUCCAAUUUGGUACAUUUCUCCUCUUGCAGAUUUUAUCAUUGAUAUCCACUGUAACCAUAGGUGGAGGGUGAACCAACUUCAGGGUAAGGCUAAAAGCAGCAAUGUAUUAAACAUCAUAAACCCAUCUUUUAAGGCAAGAAUCAGACAUUGGUGUCAUGUAGGCUAAUAAAAUAUUCAGAAUUCAGAACGAACGUGCACUCAACAAAACUGAUGUGUUUUCAGCGAUUACUCAUCUGAACGCCUCUGAUUGGCCACUGCAUUCCUAAGCUCAACCGAAUUGUGUGUGAUUGCUUAAAAUGCGCAACACUGUAAAUUGUAAAAAGAAAACUGUGUAACAUGAGCAGAUUUUAAUUUAAUGUCACAAUCAACACUAUUUGUUUUCACUUUUUUAGUAUCAAAUUUAAUAGAUUCAAUUUCUUUGUGCAGAAAGUUUUUUUUUUUUCAAUUUAGGGGCAUUUUUGCCCAAAUCCCCAUGGCCAGGAGAAGGCUAAGCCUUCCCAAGCCUUACACACACUCUGCCUAUGAAAUUGCUUUAUAGCUGUGCAUAUCUACACUAACUACUUCUAGAGAUAUGAGAUGU
Molecule: long non-coding RNA, 1096 nt
Organism: Carassius auratus (goldfish)
Lineage: Eukaryota; Metazoa; Chordata; Actinopteri; Cypriniformes; Cyprinidae
Exons: 2
Source: RefSeq, a predicted model, not a curated record